Molecule: transfer RNA, 75 nt
Filed under: SAR202 cluster bacterium Casp-Chloro-G4
Lineage: Bacteria; Bacillati; Chloroflexota; Dehalococcoidia
Also listed under: 2 other names
Description: tRNA-Met
Rfam family: tRNA
About the family: Transfer RNA (tRNA) molecules are approximately 80 nucleotides in length. Their secondary structure includes four short double-helical elements and three loops (D, anti-codon, and T loops). Further hydrogen bonds mediate the characteristic L-shaped molecular structure. tRNAs have two regions of fundamental functional importance: the anti-codon, which is responsible for specific mRNA codon recognition, and the 3' end, to which the tRNAs corresponding amino acid is attached (by aminoacyl-tRNA synthetases). tRNAs cope with the degeneracy of the genetic code in two manners: having more than one tRNA (with a specific anti-codon) for a particular amino acid; and 'wobble' base-pairing, i.e. permitting non-standard base-pairing at the 3rd anti-codon position.
Source: RNAcentral
GGGCUCGUAGCUCAGUGGUAGAGCGGUCGGCUCAUAACCGAUUGGUCUCAGGUUCGAACCCUGACGAGCCCACCA